Molecule: ribosomal RNA, 492 nt
Filed under: uncultured bacterium
Lineage: Bacteria
Description: partial 16S ribosomal RNA
Rfam family: Bacterial small subunit ribosomal RNA
Source: RNAcentral
AGUGAACGCUGGCGGUAGGCCUAACACAUGCAAGUCGAACGGCAGCACAGUAAGAGCUUGCUCUUACGGGUGGCGAGUGGCGGACGGGUGAGGAAUACAUCGGAAUCUACUUUUUCGUGGGGGAUAACGUAGGGAAACUUACGCUAAUACCGCAUACGACCUACGGGUGAAAGCAGGGGAUCUUCGGACCUUGCGCGAUUGAAUGAGCCGAUGUCGGAUUAGCUAGUUGGCGGGGUAAAGGCCCACCAAGGCGACGAUCCGUAGCUGGUCUGAGAGGAUGAUCAGCCACACUGGAACUGAGACACGGUCCAGAGUCCUACGGGAGUGAGCAGUGGGUGAUAUUGGACAAUGGGCGCAAGCCUGAUCCAGCCAUACCGCGUGGGUGAAGAAGGCGUUCGGGUUGUAAAGCCCUUUUGUUGGGAAAGAAAAGCAGCAGGUUAAUACCCCGCUGUUCUGACGGUACCCAAAGAAUAAGCACCGGCUAACUUCGUG